AUUGAACGCUGGCGGCAUGCUUUACACAUGCAAGUCGAACGGCAGCGCGGGCUUCGGCCUGGCGGCGAGUGGCGAACGGGUGAGUAAUAUAUCGGAACGUACCCAAGAGUGGGGAUAACGUAGCGAAAGUUACGCUAAUACCGCAUACGAUCUAAGGAUGAAAGCAGGGGAUCGCAAGACCUUGUGCUCCUGGAGCGGCCGAUAUCUGAUUAGCUAGUUGGUGGGGUAAAGGCCCCACCAAGGCAACGAUCAGUAGCUGGUCUGAGAGGACGACCAGCCACACUGGAACUGAGACACGGUCCAGACUCCUACGGAGGCAGCAGUGGGGAAUUUUGGACAAUGGGGGGCAACCCUGAUCCAGCAAUGCCGCGUGAGUGAAGAAGGCCUCGGUUGUAAG
This 397-nucleotide ribosomal RNA is filed under the name uncultured bacterium. RNAcentral's name for it is "bacterial SSU rRNA". It matches the Rfam family "Bacterial small subunit ribosomal RNA", at positions 30 to 429 of the family's 1533-position model. The record is from RNAcentral.